Molecule: small nuclear RNA, 201 nt
Filed under: Zalophus californianus (California sea lion)
Lineage: Eukaryota; Metazoa; Chordata; Mammalia; Carnivora; Otariidae
Description: U4 spliceosomal RNA (ENSZCAG00015001919.1)
Rfam family: U4 spliceosomal RNA (bases 1-116)
About the family: U4 small nuclear RNA (U4 snRNA) is a component of the major U2-dependent spliceosome. The structure of U4 snRNA from yeast and human has been reported. U4 snRNA presents a k-turn RNA motif in the 5p-SL related to recognition of Snu13 protein.
Source: RNAcentral
AGCUUUGCUCAGUUGCAGUAUCGUAGCCAAUGAGGUUUAUCUGAGGCGCGAUUAUUGCUAAUUGAAAUUCCGUAUAUAGGCUCUAUAUAGUAGCAGUCAAAAUGAUUCUAAUGAAGCCGGCAAUGAUUCUUCUUAAAAAAUAUAACUAACUAAUAUAUACAAAUGGGUUGUCAUCUUUAGUUUUAUAAUUACAUUUAUGUA